This 444-nucleotide ribosomal RNA is filed under the name Triticum aestivum (bread wheat). Its description in RNAcentral is "partial small subunit ribosomal RNA". Lineage: Eukaryota; Viridiplantae; Streptophyta; Magnoliopsida; Poales; Poaceae. The record is from RNAcentral.
AUGGCAUUGUCAUUACACAGAGCGCGUAUGCAUGGAAACUCCUGGAGAAGAGUGGCAUGGCUGGCUGCAAACCCUAUCACACCCCCAUGGAGCCCCAUUUCAAGCUAUCAAAAGAGAGCACAGUGCCACCAGUGGACGCAACCGGAGUACUGCAGCGUCGUUGGCAACCUGCGCUACCUGGUGCACACACGCCCUGACCUGACCUUCUCGGCCGGGUACGUUUCACGUUUCAUGGAGGCACCAACUGAAGAGCACCGGACCGCCGUCAAGCAUAUUUUGAGGUACAUCGCCGGCACUCUGCAUCUGGGCAACAAGUACGGUAGAGGAGAUGGUGAGCCUGAACUCAUCGGGUACAGCGACAGUGACCUAGGCGGCGACGUGGACACGCGCAAGAGCACCUUCGGCACCCUGUUCUUGCUCGGAGGAGGGGUGAUAACCUGGUAG